UACGGAGGGGGCUAGCGUUGUCCGAAGUUACUGGGCGUAAAGCGCGCGUAGGCGGGUUGGUAAGUCCGCUGUGAAAGCCCGGAGCUUAACUCCGGAGGGUCGGUGGAUACUGCCAGUCUUGAAGGUGCUAGGGGGAGAUGGAAUUACCGGUGUAGCGGUGAAAUGCGUAGAUAUCGGUAGGAACACCAGUGGCGAAGGCGGUCUCCUGGGGCAUUCUUGACGCUGAGGUGCGAAAGCGUGGGGAGCAAACAGG
This 253-nucleotide ribosomal RNA is filed under the name uncultured bacterium. Its description in RNAcentral is "partial 16S ribosomal RNA". It matches the Rfam family "Bacterial small subunit ribosomal RNA", at positions 524 to 776 of the family's 1533-position model. The record is from RNAcentral.